UUCCCCAUACUGACUGUCACAAUAGUGAGAGCACAGUGAGGCCUCUCAGGGCAUUGCCCUCCUUCUGAAACCCUUGUAAGAUGCAUGACAGAAAGACCUGGGAGAGCCAGGAGGCCUCUCCACUCUACAGCAUCACUGAAAUAAAUGCAGCAACAAAUCACCACAGAGCUACAGACCAGCAACGAAGGGAGCUGAGGGCAAUUUGACCAACAUCAUCUGUGUCGGUUCCCCAGAUGUCAAUGAAACGCGUAAUCGGGUCUCCAAGACCACAAGCCUCAGAAGAUCACUGUGGAAGAAACACACUGGGCCAACCCAUCCUGUUGAUAUGACACAAAGUGCAGCCCAGUUUGGUAUUCUUUCCACUCUGAAGAAGUCUCACACCAGGAAAGGAAGAUAUAAACCACCACAGAAACAAACUGCUUUCCUCAUGGAAGAAUGGUAACUUUGGACAACAUUUGGCACUGCAAGUUCAAAGGGCUAUUUCAUCUGCAUUGUAAGUACAGACCCAGAGAUUUUACAGUAUUCCUGUCUCCAUGCUAUUGUUUUCUGUGCCAUUAAUGGCACUUAAAUUAUAGACCUGCUGCAGCCAUGUAGUCAAAACACCACAUCACCCGAUGAGACACUGUAUUAUAAUGUCACUGUGUCUGUGUUUUAGCUGUGCUUUCAUAUACUCCACUUCUCUUCAAUCACCCUUUUUCUCUGCCAAAGAAUAGGUAUAAGAGAUGAGUCUAUCUUUAGCGCCACAAAAAUUUCUUACUCAGGCAGCUGCAACACUUCAUUCAUCACAUAUCCAAGUCUCCUGUUUACAGCAAUAAAAUUUUUAGAUGUACAAAUAGUACGGAGGCG
Molecule: long non-coding RNA, 846 nt
Organism: Parus major (Great Tit)
Lineage: Eukaryota; Metazoa; Chordata; Aves; Passeriformes; Paridae
Source: Ensembl